UCCUGCAGGAUCCUGUGCACUUUAUUCUUCCCUACCAGCCUCAGAAGCCACGUGCUGAAGACAGUGAAGUUCUGUCUGGGAAGAAGCAUCGAUCCCUAAAUGACUGCAUGGAGCAGAGCAGAGAUGUCUGCUCACUAAGUUGGUUCGAAGCUGAGGAGGAAAAAAAUUAGGUGCUAGGAUGCUGGAGAGAUCCUCAGAAACCCCUCUACAUGAAUCAUUUAAGUAGAUGAAGAGCUAGAUUGCAAUAAUCAUUGGGAGGAGAAGAAGAAUAAAACAUGAGAUUCCAUUCACAUCCCAGAAUUAAAGGUACUGUCGUGAUGCCCAUUUUACAGAUGAAGAAACUGAGGUUUCCAGAGGUCCAGUCCCUGCCUGAGCUGAUGCAGUUACGAAGGCUGAAGCCCGGACUUGAUUUGAGUUCGGCCUGCGGAGCCCCGGCUGAGCUACCUGCCUUCUAGCCCCACGGUGGAAAGGGAGAAUCCAGACAUCCUUGAGACCUACCCAAGGAGUUUCCCUGUUACUGCCCUGCCAUCCUUCUGAUGCCACCCUGUUCCGUAUCUGGCUGGAGCCAGCGUGGUUGUGUCUGGGUUUGGCUCCAUAGUAGAUGUUCUCGGUGGCCUUACUAUUCCUGUGCACGCCGGCCACUUUUGCCUGAAGCUCUCUGUGGCUGCCAAUGCCCACUUUGUUGAAAGUACUUGGAAAUUAAGACCCUCUAGGGAGUAUCUCUGAGUUGUGCCUGGUGAGAUUUCAUGAAGGAAUGGCCCAGCUCCUGCAGACCUAGGCGGGAUGUCUGAGGUGCACCUUCUACACGCUCUUUCAGUUGGAUUAAGUCCUAGGAUGCCCACAGGGGUCACUGAGAGGUUAACAAACAUUUUUUUUUUUUUU
This 882-nucleotide long non-coding RNA is filed under the name Homo sapiens (human). Its description in RNAcentral is "HSALNT0384327". Lineage: Eukaryota; Metazoa; Chordata; Mammalia; Primates; Hominidae. The record is from RNAcentral.